RNAcentral lists this ribosomal RNA (252 nucleotides) under uncultured bacterium. RNAcentral's name for it is "partial 16S ribosomal RNA". It matches the Rfam family "Bacterial small subunit ribosomal RNA", at positions 524 to 776 of the family's 1533-position model. The record is from RNAcentral.
UACGGAGGAUGCGAGCGUUAUCCGGAUUUAUUGGGUUUAAAGGGUGCGUAGGCGGAGUGUCAAGUCAGCGGUAAAAUUUCGGGGCUCAACCCCGUCGUGCCGUUGAAGCUGACGCCCUUGAGUGAGUGAGAAGUAAGCGGAAUGCGUGGUGUAGCGGUGAAAUGCAUAGAUAUCACGCAGAACGCCGAUUGCGAAGGCAGCUUACCGGCGCUCAACUGACGCUGAGGCACGAAAGUGCGGGUAUCGAACAGG